AUUGAACGCUGGCGGCAGGCCUAACACAUGCAAGUCGAGCAGAUGAAGGGAGCUUGCUCCUGGAUUCAGCGGCGGACGGGUGAGUAAUGCCUAGGAAUCUGCCUGGUAGUGGGGGAUAACGUCCGGAAACGGGCGCUAAUACUGCAUACGUCCUGAGGGAGAAAGUGGGGGAUCUUCGGACCUCACGCUAUCAGAUGAGCCUAGGUCGGAUUAGCUAGUUGGUGGGGUAAAGGCCUACCAAGGCGACGAUCCGUAACUGGUCUGAGAGGAUGAUCAGUCACACUGGAACUGAGACACGGUCCAGACUCCUACGGGAGGCAGCAGUGGGGAAUAUUGGACAAUGGGCGAAAGCCUGAUCCAGCCAUGCCGCGUGUGUGAAGAAGGUCUUCGGACUGUAAAGCACUUUAAGUUGGGAGGAAGGGCAGUAAGUUAAUACCUUGCUGUUUUGACGUUACCAACAGAAUAAGCACCGGCUAACUUCGUG
RNAcentral lists this ribosomal RNA (484 nucleotides) under uncultured bacterium. RNAcentral's name for it is "partial 16S ribosomal RNA". It matches the Rfam family "Bacterial small subunit ribosomal RNA", at positions 30 to 507 of the family's 1533-position model. The record is from RNAcentral.